Non-coding RNA from Mus caroli (Ryukyu mouse), 3742 nucleotides. Lineage: Eukaryota; Metazoa; Chordata; Mammalia; Rodentia; Muridae. The record is from RefSeq and is a predicted model, not a curated record.
UGGCACCGGCGCGAGCGCGCGUGGAGGCGGCACUCGGGAGGCAGCGAUCCGGGCUGCAGGCCCUCAAGGGUCCCUCAGGAGUGCGCGACAGGGGCCGGUGGCUCCCGCGCUAUUGCAGAUUGCUCCACAUGCUGCCAUGUCCCCAUCAUGGCUGAGGGCAGAGGCACAGAGGAGCCUGGAGACAGGAAGACUGAAGGUCCCCUGGAGUCCCUCUGGAUCCUGCACAGAAAGAGGACACUAGGUGAAAUCUGGAGACCCCUGAGUGAACUGUGGACUUAAGUUAAUGAUCUGUCAGCUCUGGCUCCUGAACUGUGGUAAAUGCAUCACUAAGAAGACAACAGGCUAACAGCUGGGGCUGGGUGGGCUCAGGGGAAGACUUAGGAUAUCAAGACCCUGGGCUUUGAUUCCCGGGACCACUUCAAAGAGGAGAAAGAGAAGGAUGUGGAGUAUCUUUGCUCUGAUGAGGAAAUGUGGAGCAAAGGAGCUUGCGGGCCCCGGGCUGCAGGUCAGAGGGUGCUGGGAGCUGGCCCUGCAUAGCUGGGCCAGUGCUGCUGCCUGCUAGAGCUGAGGUCUAGCGAGCUGUUCCUCUCUCCUGCUGUCCCAGAUGUGGGUACUUCCUUCCGCUCCUCCCCCCAGACUGCACCUCAGGUUUACUCUUAACCUGACGUGGUUCGGAGCUAGCUUCUCCAUAGCCGCCAUCACGUGGGUCCUACUUGCUGCUGUGGGGGAACAGAUCAGCCCUGCUCACCUGACCAUUUCUGGUUCUGGCAUCUUCUGUUCCCUCUCAAACAUACAGUGUGGCAGAAAGGAAAGGUGGUCACUCUCUUGGCGGGGUACCCUUCCUGGUGUGCUCGCUCGGCGGGAGAAUGAAGUGUGAACACAGUCUUGUGGCUUUCCAGAGUGUUUCCCGGCCCCGCCUCUGUCUUCUCAGCCACUGGGCCUACAAAGUUUCAUUCCCAGCUGUGGCUUCCCACCCUCUAGGCAGGCCCAGGAAGUCAGAGCCAUUCUGUUGAGGUGUGGGAGAUGUGACCUCCCCACGCGGCCCUGACGCCCCGCUGUAGAGGGUUAGCCUCCCCAGCAGCCAUCCCCCUUAUGUAAUCUGCACAUCACACAGGCGUGACUCCAGGUGCCUGUGGGAGGUAGCGCGGGGGUGAGCUCAGGGGCGCAAACAAGCCUCCAAGUUUCCUUGGGUGCCUCUCCUCUUGUUACAUUUCAGCGUCAUCCUGCGUCUGCCAGCUCGGUCACCCACUUGCCUAUUAGAAUAUAUUAACUGACAAUGCAGACUUAAAUAACUUGGGCAGGUGACAGGCUGCAGUGGGGGGCCCUCUGCACAGAACCCUUCUGCAGCAGGCCAAGUGAGUUCAGAGGACAAUGGGCGGACUGAGACAGGACGAUGGGCAGGGAGGGGCGGGGUGCAGCCUGCACAACGCCAAACUUAAAGUGAUAAGAUCCGGUGCCCUUGGCAACAAGGAAAGCCCACCCCACGGCAGGCACACCCAUGACUCUCUGUACGCACCAGCUCGUAGGGUUGUGCCUUAAGUGAAUAAGAGAACUGAACAGAGGCAUCUGUCAUCAGAGCAUGACCGGUCUGUGGUGACAGCUCUGGCAGCAGCAGCAGCCUAGGCACAGGCAGUCCAGCCUGUGCCCACUCGCUCUGCAGAGUGCCCUCCAUGGGCCAGAGUGGUCACUCAGUUUCCCAGGGGAGAGACAAAAUCCAAACCUUGCUUCCUGCUCACUGGCUCAUUGCGGGUGCUUUUCUGUCCCCUUCGCUCUCUUAUUGCUCUGCCUCUUCACUUAAGUUGUCUUAAAGGUGUCUAAAGGCGUUUUCAGGUUGCGGCAGAGGAAAUAGUUUUUCAGACUCUGGAGUCAAAAGACACCCAGCCCCGAGCCCUGGUGUGUUCCACCAGGUCCUUCCCCACCACACCCCCAUCUCCAGCUGGUCCUGCCAGAGUGAGAAGCCCAGACAUGUACAUACUGCUCCACAUGCUCACAGAUGGCUUCCCUGCUCGGGGCUGACUGCUGCUAAUUUAGGCUGCUGGAGGCUCCGUGUGCGCUCUCUCUCUUUUUUUAAUUCCAUGUUUAUUUAAAGCCAGAUUUUGAAAUCUUGUCUUCAACUCUGAAAUCUGAAAUCAUCUUGCUGCGGAUCUUGCCCCCCACCCCCAACACGGCGCAAAGUUUAGGGAGGCUUGAACGACUGGCCAGGGUCUCCUUACAGCAGUCCUGUUGUGUCAGCCCAGAGCACAGGAGGUCCCUGGGACAUGCCUGGUGUUUCCAUGUAAACAGGGGGAAGCUGUGUGGAACAUCUGAUUAGAGUCUCCCCUGUUUCCUGGUGCUGCAGAAGGGGCAGACUGGCUCAUCGCGCCCACAGUCCUACAACGGGACCUAGUGUGGCCCAGGUAUCUAGGACCCCAGUGCCAAUCCCCCAACUGGCUCUUGGAUUUUCAGAGCUCCUCUUAACCCAUAAAAGCCACAUACAGUGUCUUCCUGCUCUCUGGGGAAUCAAGUCCACCUAGAAGGGACUUCCUGGCUAGGGCUUGUUGGUGUGUUGACACAACACUGGGCUGCCCUCAGGCAGACAGUGCCUGUGUCACGGAGCACACAGUGGGACUCUGUCCCCUCACAGUGGGACCCAGAAGACUCCCUGGCAUGUGAGUGCUCCAGAGGCACCAGGACUGCACCCCAUUGCACGACAACUACCAUCUGCCCUUCUGCCCUUCCACAGCUCCCCUGGGGUGUGGGGAAGGGCUUUGGUGAGGAAUGAUCUUGAGGGAACUGGUCAAGAGCUGAGGUAUAGCCAGUUCCAGGAGGAAUGCCUGCACCUGGAAGGAAGCAGCAGGACUGCCUAAGGCACCGGCCGGAUUCCCACACCAGCCUCUGCCUCUUCCCCACCAGGCCGAGAAAAGGAAGGGUGCCGCUUCCACCCAGAGCCACCUGCAAGGCCUGCCAGGCAGGGCCUUUCUAACAUGGAGAGCGUGAAGAAGAGCUGGGACAGUGAGCCUGGCACGUCUGGUCAGAUGGGAAGAUGACUGUGAGGAAAACUGGUGGAGUGCUAAGUUUGGGAAUGUCAUUUCUCCAGCAGGCUCACUUCUCUCAAGGUUGAGAGACAGAGAUGUUUGUAGAGUAGUGUAGGAAACUAGCUGUCCCCCACCCCAGCCCCCGUCCCUGCCUGGAAACCAUGACUCUAAAAGAAUAUGCGAGACAUUUCACCCCCUAUCCAACCAAAGGUCGGCUGUACAACCUUUCCAAAUGUCACUCCAACCACUGCUGGCAGAACCCCAGAGAUGCCAAAGCACCUUGGUUCUGCUGUCGACUCUCACCCCAAGCUGCAGGGGGGUUUUGUUUGUUUUGGUUUUUGUCUUUUUUGUUUUUCUGCAGGAGCUAACGAAAUUCUUUGUGCACAGCCUGAGGAGUUGGCUUUCUGAGCCUUAGAGCUGGUGGUGUGGGACUCUGGUGUUUUUCCUGCCUUCCUGGGCUCCAAGACGUCCCAAGGAGAAAACCCCAUGCUCAGGUUUCCAGGCCAGACACUUAGGCAGGACAGUUCCAGGACACUAGGAUUAAGCGGUGGUACCUGGCAGUUUCCUCAGACAGGUCGGGGCACUGCAUCCACUGCUGCUGUUAACCAGGGAGCAGAUGGCGCAGAGCCGGUCCAGCGCCUGGCUCCUGGGGGUCCAGCUUGGCUGCCUUUUCCUAGGCCCCCCUGAGGCCUUGGCUCUUACAAUAGACUGCCACUUCUGAGACCCUU